RNAcentral lists this ribosomal RNA (254 nucleotides) under uncultured bacterium. RNAcentral describes it as "partial 16S ribosomal RNA". It matches the Rfam family "Bacterial small subunit ribosomal RNA", at positions 524 to 776 of the family's 1533-position model. The record is from RNAcentral.
UACGUAGGGGGCAAGCGUUGUCCGGAAUCAUUGGGCGUAAAGAGCGUGUAGGCGGCCAGAAAAGUCCGCUGUGAAAACUCGAGGCUCAACUUCGAGCUGUCGGUGGAAACUUUCUGGCUAGAGUCCGGAAGAGGAGAAUGGAAUUCCUGGUGUAGCGGUGAAAUGCGCAGAUAUCAGGAAGAACACCCGUGGCGAAGGCGGUUCUCUGGGCCUUACCUGACGCUGGAGGCGCGAAAGCUAGGGGAGCGAACAGG